Molecule: transfer RNA, 72 nt
Filed under: Camelus bactrianus (Bactrian camel)
Lineage: Eukaryota; Metazoa; Chordata; Mammalia; Artiodactyla; Camelidae
Also listed under: 2 other names
Rfam family: tRNA
About the family: Transfer RNA (tRNA) molecules are approximately 80 nucleotides in length.
Source: Rfam by way of RNAcentral
GAGAGUGUAGCUCAGUAGUACAGUACAUGCCUAGCAUGCACAAGGUCCUGGGUUCAAUCCCCAGUACCUCCA